ACUAUAUGCUGCCUACAAGAGAGUCACUUCAGCUUUGAAGAUACGUAUAGGUUGAAAGUGAAGAGAUGGAAAAACAUAUUCCAUGCAAAUGGUAACCAAAAAGGGAGCAGGGUGGCUAUUCUAAAAUCAGAUAAAUUACACUUUAAGUGAAAAACUGUCACAAGAAAUAAAAAAGUUUUAUCCUACAUAUAAUGAUAAAGGGAUAAACUCAUCAAAAGCAUAUAACAAUGAUAAAUAUAAAUGCACCCAACAUUAGAGCACCUAAAUACAUACAGAAAAUAUUUUAAAAAUUAAAGGGAGAAAUAGACAGAAAUACAAUAAUAGUAGGAGACUUCCAUACUCCACUUUCAACAAUGAAUAGAUCUUCCAGAUGGAAAGUCAGUGGGAAACGGUGGACUUGGACAACACUAUAGAUCAAAUGGACCUAACAGGCAUGCACAAAACAUUCCAUCCAACAGCAGCAGAAUUAUGCACACACAGAGCAUUAUGCAGAAUAGAUGGAGACAUCACACUACCUGAUUUCAAAAUAUUCUACAAAGCAAUAGUAAUCACGACAGUAUAAUACUGGCAUGAAAAUAGACAUAUAGACCAAUGGAACAGAAUAGAGAACCCAGAAAUAAAUCCACUCAUUUUCAGUCAAUUGCUCUUUGACAAAGUUGCCAAGAAUAUACAAGGGGGGAAAGAUAUUCUUUUCAAUAAAGUGUGUGGGAAAAACUGGAUAUUCACAUGCAGAAGAAUAAAAUUGAACCAUUUUCUCACACCAUAUACAAAAAUCAACUCAAAAUGCAUUAAAAACAUAAAAGUAAGAUGUGAAACUACUAGAAGAAAACAUAGAGAAAAAGCUUUUUGUCAUUCAUCUGGGCAAUGAUUUUUUGGAUAUGACCAGAAAAGCACAGGCAACAAAAGCAAAAAUAAAUGGAAUUGGGUAAAAUUAAAAAGCUUCUGGGCUGGGCACAGCGGCUCACGCCUGUAAUCCCAGCACUUUGGGAGGCCGAGGUGGGUGGAUCACCUGAGGUUAAGAGUUCAAGACCAGCCUGGCCAACAUGGUGAAAUGCCGUCUCUACUAAAAAUACAAAAAUUAGCUGGGCCUGGUGGCAGGUGCCUGUAAUCCCAGCUAGUUGGGAGGCUGAGGCAGGAGAAUCGCUUAAACCCAGGAAACAGAGGUUGCAGUGAGCUGAGAUUGCGCCAUUGCACUCCAGCCUGGGUGACAAGAUCGAAACUCCAUCAAAAAAAAAAAAAAGCUUCUGUAUAGCAAAUAAAUAAUUGACAGAUUGAAAGAGGCACCUAUAAAGUGGGAGAAAAUAUCUUCAAACCAUACAUCUGACAAGAAGUUAGUAUUCAGGCUAUAACAGAAACUCAACUUAAGGCUGGGUGCAGUGGCUCAUCCCUGUUAACCCAAUACUUUUGGAGGCUUAGGAGGGUGGAUUCCUUGAGUCCAGGUGUCUGAGACCAGCCUGGGCAACAUGGUGAAAUCCCAUCUCUACAAAAAAUACAAAAAUUAGCUGGGCAUGGUGGUGCAUGCCUAUAGACCCAGCUACUUGAAAGGAUGAGGUGGGAGGAUCACUUGAGCCUGGGAGGCAGAGGCUACAGUGAGCCAAGUUCAAGCCACUGCACUCCAGCCUGGGUGACAGAGUGAGACUGUCAAAAAACAAAACAAAACAAAACAAAAACAAAAAACAAAACAGCAAAAACAAAAAAACAAAAAAAGCAGAAACAAACAAACAAAAAAACCCACAACCCCCCAAAAGAAACAACUCGACUCAAUAGCAAGAAAACAAAUGAUCUGAUUAAGCAAAUAGGCAAAGAACUUGCAUAGAUUAUCUAAUUCCAGAACCUUUUUAUCACCUCAAGAAGACCUCAUACCCAUUGGCAAUCACUGCUAAUUCCCUUCCUUCUGCCCUUUGGGCCCUGGCAACCACUCAUCUUUUUGUGUCUAUAGAUUUUCCUAUUCUGGACAUUUCAUAUAAAUGGAGUCAUGCAAUAUGUUGUCUUGUGCGUGUGGCUUCUUUCCUUUAAUGUCUUACAGUUUAUUCAUGUUGUAGCUUAUAUCAGUACUUCAGUCUUUUCUACAACUAAUAGUCCAUUGUAUGCAUAUAGUACCUUUUGUUUACCUCUUCAUCUGUUCAUCCUUUCAGAAGGAUCUUGGUACUAGUCUGAGCUGAACUUGAAAGCUACAAACAAUGAGUUUUUUUUCCAUCUCCUAACAUAGUAAAAAUCAGCGUUUUAGGAAGAUUAUUGUGGUGGGCCCAUAAAGACCAAAUCUACGGUGAGGCAGAGAUGGAGGAUGAUGAAAUUUGGAGCCUCAUUCUAUUAAAUUGGAGAGAAAAGUCAAGGUCACCAAGGGAAUCUUUGUGCAAGAAGCAGACUCAUUCUCAUUCUCUCUCUCCUCUCUCUCUCUCUCUCUCUGUCUCUCUCUCUCUCUCUCUCUCCCCCUGCCUGUCUCCAGUUCUGACCAUAAAGCCGUAAGGCCACAGGCUUUAAAGAGUGGCUAUCCUGGGGUUGAGGGCCCAGUGGUGGUUUCAACCUUGUCUCAUAUUUCUCCUGGCAGCUCUGUUGAAAAUCAGCCAACCACACUCCUUCCUGGAACAUACAUCGCUGAUAAUUGCCUCUUGCACAAUUAUCUGCCAAACCCAGUUGUUAAUGAAAUGAAUGAUUUAGUUAUCCUUGUUAGUAAUGGUCCACACUGCACAAAGACCCAUUAUUGUAUCCAUGAGGCUGGCAGGAGUGCCGGCCAAGGCACCUGUGAGCGAUUCUUAAAAUUAGCUCUCUUACCAGCUUGAUUGGAGAGGAGAAGGCUGCCAGUGGCCACAGGGGUGCAGCCUGUCCCCUGCAUGGUCCCUACGAUGCAUCAAGAGCUGGGAGCAUCUAGGGGCAAAAUAAGAAAUGAGGCCAGGACUGAGCUCUUUGUUUGCCAAUUUUGACCUGCAAAGCCCGGGGCUGCUUCCCCCCAGCACAGGGGAAGGACAGCCUGAAGGACGGUGCGGACAUGCAUCACGUCAGGUUUCCUUGGGUCCAGGGAGCAGCUCGGCUGACUGGCAGAUGAGGUAACUUGAAGCAUAUUGGGGUAUCCUAUUAAUAAAACACCUCUCCCCAUCACACACCAUGGCACAGCUCCUCCCCCUCCCUCAACUCCUCUGCCAAAGAGAACAUCUUUCUUUUGCUGGUAAUACUAGGUUUUUGCUCCCCUCCCUCCUUGCUCCCCAGAGUGGCUGUACAGUACUGCUCUUUCGUUUCCUGUUAGGCCCCAUCUUCCUCUAGUGCUCAUUCCUGCUGCUUUUCAAGGGAAGGGAGAACACGAGCAAGAGAAGUAGACACAAAUGGGCAUGACUGGAGCAAGUAGAACUGCUCAAGGUAAAUAGAGACAUAAACAGAGAAAGUAAUUUGCAGGACAUUGUGUUAACACACACAAGAAUGUGUACACACACACACACAUACACACUUGCACAUACACAUUUCAUCUUGUCUUCUGGACGAUGACAUUCGGGAAUAAGUUCUUCAGUUUGGGAAAUAGCUGCCCAGAGUUGUGACUGAGAAAUGUGUUUCAGCUUAAAGAGACUAGACUAACAUGGGGUUAAGGGACUCUUGCGAAAUGAGCAGAACCAAGUGUGCAUUGAGUGUGCACAGAGGCAGGUAUUAGAGGCUGUGUAACAGGGUGGGUAGUCUGUGCAUUGACCUGGCUUCACUCCUUUGACUGGUUGUGACUCUGCAUAAGCCAUUUAAUCCACAGCAAAAGAUAGAUGCUUGAAAACUGCUUUCAUACAUACAGAUUUAUUCAUGUUGACAACCUCUGCAUGCCACUCAGUAAAAAUUUCCAGGCUACUUGCAAUAGUAAUGAAACAGAAGGAUAAACUAAUUUAUGUCAGAGGAACAUAAUAUGUAAAAAAUAUAAUAAAAUUAAAGGUGAGACUGGCACCUGAAAAUCUCUCUAUUAUGACUCAAAAGCCUACUCAUAUGGCCCUGAGAGGUGUGGCCCUUCCUAAUUUUGACAGUGAGAAAUACAUCACCCUGGGUCCUGAUAGAGAGGACCUGUGGAGGCAGAGGGCAGUGCCCUGGUUAACACCCCUCCAGGGGAGAAGGAGAAGACCCCAUUACGACUGCUAUAUGACUGCUACUUCCCUUGCGGAAGAUGGCAGGGGAGAGCAGCACUCCCGCCAGUACAAGCCAAAGUACCGUGGCCCAAAUUAUCCAGCUUCAUCUUCACUGUCUAUACCAGUCAUGUUCAACGACUUAUAAAAAGCAGUGAUACUCUUCUAGUCCAAUAAAAUCUUGCACAAGCACAGAGAAAACAGGGAGGGUGGGUCACUGUUUCAGAGGGGGAAGGGCUGACCAUUUUCUUAGGGCCUCUCUUUCCCCACGCGGAGACUGGUGAGGCUGAUGAGGCACCUUUGCUCUGAAUCCCAAGCGUCUGAAAACCCCUUGUCCGAUCUAGGUGAAAGGAUGGAUAUCAGAAAGGAAGGAGGGAGGGGAGAAAUAGAGGAAUGAAGGGAGGGAGGAAAGAAUGUUGGUUUUUAUUGCCACUUGCGCGGGAGUCUUGUGGGAGCCAGUGGGGAAGUUGUUAUUUUGAAUCGGGUAAAUUGGGGCUUCCUCUUCUUGUUCGUCAAGACCACUUUUUGGCUCUUUUCAUCCCAAUAAAACAAACCAUGAUACACUAAGGGACUGAAGAGACACUACAAUGCACUUUUUAAGUGUCUGGGCUCCAAACCAAACUGCCUGGGUUUGAAUCCUGGCCCUGCUACUUAUUGCUGUGUGAUACUGGACAAGUUACUUAACAUCUCUGUGCCUGUUUUCUCAUCUGCAGAAAUAGGUGCUGAUAGUACCUACCUCGUGGGAUUAUUGUGAGGAGAAAAUGUGUUGGCAUGAGUAAGACCUUUAGAAUGGCGUUUGCCACGUGGUCUGGGAAUAAAUGUCAGCCGUCAUUAUGUUGUGGGUACAUAAAUACACUACUCCUUGCAAUGUCAGUUUUUGCUCACACAAUUUCCAGCCCUCUGCCCUCAGGUGAGCCAGCCUGUCUCAUCUCAGGGCCUCACGGUGGCUUAGCUCACCCAUCAGUGGGAGCAGGUGGCUGAGCUGCAGCCAGGGUUCUGUGAGCGUGGUGGGUUGGGGAGGGAAAGGAAUGAGGUUUGGAGUCCUUUUGUUGUUUUGCUUGGGUCAGAAGGAGUCUGUGGUAGCAUGCAGUCAUCAUCUUAUUUUACAGCUGCAGGAUGUUGGUAGACAAACUUCUCCCUAAUCUAUAUGAUCUGUAAGCCCAAAGGGAAAUAGGGGGCGGUCACAGGAGCUCGGUGGCCUCUGAGAAAGAGCACUUGGCUAUGGUGCAACUGGCCUAAAAUUCAUAGCCCCAUUCUCUUGAUCUGAGUUGCUUCUGGGGGAUGAGCGUGGCACCACAGCGUCUCAGGUGCUAUACAGGGGACUUCCCAUGAGUUUCCCUUAUCAGUUGUAAGAUGCUGUCUAUACAGGAGGGGAUGGUUUUAUGAAGACACAGGGGACAGUUACCAGCAGAUUGAUGGCCAAAGCUUUGAGCUAGAUGGUUUUCAUCUUCCUGAAACAUCACCCUAGGGUUUUCCUGAUGUUUCCAUCAAUCUGUUAAGUGCAGUGUGUGGUCGUGUCCCUCAGGGAGUUUCCCAUUUACUCUGGAAGACCAAACUUACAGGCUACACUCUGGGUGCAGACAGUGCUAGUCCUGUGGGGAGUUGGGAAAAAGGAGUGGGAGGCUUUGCGGCCGAGGAGGGGCUUCAGGGCAGCAAGGACAACGGCUGGGUUUGAACAGUCAGUGGAGAAGGAAGUGUGGAAAGGCCAGAGAAGUAGACAUGAAUGUGUGCAUGCCAGAGAGGGCAGGCAGACAGGGUUCAUGGAGGGGGCAGAAGCAGCACAUUGAUCUCUGCUUCUGCCAGAAGAUCAGAGGGGAUAUCAGGGGGGUGGUCUGGCCAGAGUAAGGGCAGCCUUGAAGCCCCAGUGGAAUAAUUUUGACUUGAUUCUAUGGAAAAUGACAUACAACAGUGUAGGAGGGCUUGUCUUCUAACUGAAACCAGCUGGGAAUCUUUCCCAAUAGUCCAGGGCAGGGCAGAGAGAGGGCCUUUGGCAGCAUGUGCAAAUGCACAUGCAUGUAACCAGUGUGUGUGGCCCACCGGGCUUCUAAGCCUACCGUUACCUCUUCUAGUUCUUCAAAUCUCUUAACCCUCUUGUCUGUGAGCAUGAACAAUCCGGGGCUUACACAGACAAGACCACAGUGUGCCAUCUUGUCAGAAGGAGAAACUGAGGCACUCUAUUGUAAAGAAGCUGGUUCUAGGACCUGCCCUUGAGUCACUGUGUAGUAAGACCCAGUGUGUGGGCUGCCAGGGCCCUUCCUUCAGGGAUCUGGCUUCUAAAGUUGUUUUUUUUCCUGUAUCUCAUAAAGAGGGAAAGGAUGUGCCUAAGAGAGGUUAUUUGGACGAAUGGCCAUUUUAAUUGCCUCCUAUCAGGCACAGGUGGAUAGAGGCAGGUGUGGGAAAGAGGGUUGCCUGGACCUGGGUUUCCCAGUCCCCCAUACUCCUUGGCCUAUUGUUGAGAGGGAGCUAGAGGAGGGGUGCGGACUUAGCAGAUUAAGAAAGAUAAACGCUUACUCUUUAACAGUGGGAAAGAGGGAUGGAAGAAUAAGAUUGAAAUCUGUGGCAAGAGGACUGGCCUAGCCUGGUGGAGGCAGGAGAGGCACGUGUGCUCUACAUGCCCAUCCAAGUCUCUGGUAGGGUGGUCCUUGCUCUGAGGGAAGAGUGUGGGCCACAGGCCACAGGGAUGCUCUGAGGAUGUGGGUGCUGCCCAUCUUGAAGUUUCUCCCCACCCCUCUCCGGAGCUGCUACCAUUGUCCUUUGCCCUCGGAGUGCUCUCCUCCCACCCCCACUGCCUCUUGUUCUCUUUCUCCCUUGGGCCAUUAGAAUGGCAGGGAGCCCAGCCAGGGCCUGGACGGCGGCCUCAGCUCCCUGUUCUCAAUAAUUGUGUGUGUGUGCAUAUGUGCAUGUGUACGUGUGAGUGCCUGUGUGUGUGCGUGCGUGUGUGUGUAGGGGCUGGGGCUGGGGUCAACAACAGAUCAGAGCACAGGAGUAGAGAGCUUCUGGGAGGGUGGGGUCACCCAUGAGUCACGUCCUACACCCUGGAGCCCAGAGGACCCUUCGCUCAAACCCACCACCAGCUGGCAACACCGGAGCAGCCAGAGCCGCUUUCUUCACUGCCCAGAGGAGCCUGGGAGAAGCCAGAGGUGUAAGUCAAGCUAUGGAGGACUGGGCGUGGCUGAGCCCCAUGAGAAGUGGGAGGAGCCAGGGAUGCUUAGGAGGGGCAGGCACUGUGCAGCGAGAGAGGAGGGAAAGGGGAAGCAUUCGUGUCUCUCUGCCCCCUGUCUCCCUCCUGCUGCAUAGUAGCCACAUCCAUGUCUCUUGUACCCUGCAAUCUGGAGGCCACUGCCAGAAGCUGGAAAUCCCAAGUAGAGCAGCAAAAGGUAUGAGGAUUGGCACGAAGUGAUGGCCAAUGGAGGCUCCCCAAAGUGCAUGGAAGGUGGUGGUCAGGUCUAAAGGCAGGAGUGCUGGGGCAACCCCAUAGCUGGGGGUCCUAUGGGAGAGACUGAGGAACUUCAGUCUGUGGACUCUCAGGCAGCUGUGUUACUGAGGAGGGGAAGGGGAAGUAGACGGGGUGGUGGUUUGAACAAGACCCAAAUCCUGCUUCUACUUAUAGGUGCUCACAAAGGCCAGUGCCCUGGAAAAGCUCUGGAAUAAAUACACCUGGGCCUUAGAAAGCAGAGGGAGGAGACAGUGCCAUCCAGUGGGAGCUUUCAUUUGUUUCCUCAGCCAGCCUCUGUGUCAGGGUUUUUGGGAACAAGGGCUGGAUGAACAAGGCCUUGGGAGUUCCUGUGGGGAGGGACUGGGAGUGAAUGGGCGGUGUGGCUGGCCCGGUGGUCACUUCUCCUCUGCUUAUCUAGGCUUGAGGUCGGAUUCUUGGCUCCUGGCACAUUGCCACUCCCUGCCACCCUCCUCCUUGUCUUCUGUCUUCUCCUGGUGGCAUCAGGCCUUGCUUCGUGUCCCAACAGGAGCCUCUGGGGCUGGCACAGCCCUCACUGCCUGCAACCUGGGCCUGGUGGUUCUUCUAGGGUGCCUCUCGGAGGUCGAGGCCACCCCGCUGCUGGCUAACUGCAGUUACUUCUGCCAGCCAGUGGACUACAGAUGGAGCAAGCAUGGAAUGAGGGUAUGGCAGGGAGCAGGAAGCAAGCCUGGAGAGGGUUAGGAGAAACAGCUUCAUAACAAUCGGAGGUCAAGGAGGCAUCUUUCUGGAGACAGGUAGGCACUGUGGAAUCAGCGGUGCGUAGAACAGUGAGGAUUUGAGGCUGAACCCAGCCCAGGUGGGACAAGCCGUGGCACCAGCCGGACUGCAGUCUGAUGGAACUUCCCCUUCCUGCCCAGCAGAUGGCGAGCAUGUGCUGCUGGUGCCUCUUUCCAAAGGAUGUUGAAUUGCUUGUCAGGUGUUCUUUACUUUAUGAAUGAAGCCAGAGCAGCCCACCUUCCUGCAUCUCUACCACCAUGGCACCAUGCCCUGUGAUGGGUGGGCUGGAGUCAAAUACGUAGCAGACAGCCAGGGUCAGUUUGUGGCCACUGCUGCCCCAUCUUCCUACAGUCUCCUCACCAAGUGCCCCUUCCCUGUUGGGUUCAACACAUCUGUGCUCCUGUAAGCCCUCAGCCUCCUCGUUCUCUUCCUCAACUUCUACCACCAGACACACCUGAGAGGCAAACAAGAGAGGCUGAACUAGGGGCAGGACACAGGGACUGAAACCAGCACAGCAUCCCCACAAAGAAUUGAGUGGAAGGCAGCAUGGCUUCCAGCUUACUGGUGCUGAGCAGAUUCCUCUGGGUCUCCAUUGUAUCCUCUGAAGGAAGGAGGAGGAUUGCCUUCUGUCCAGAUCUCAGGAUCAAACAAAUAAGUCCAACUUCCUGUUCUCACUUCAGUUAGAGCACUUCUCAUGUGACUUUGUAGCUUUGUGUGCAUCUCUUUCCUCUACUAGACCUAAGCCCCUCACGGGAGGGACUCUCUUAUUCUUGAUGUUCCCCACACCUGGAAUUUCAAUAAACAUCUCAAUAAACGUGUGUGUUUGGAUCCUUGGAUCCCAUGACUGCAGUCAUAACCUUGGUGAAGAAGAGGGCUGGGAGUAGGAAAGAGGUCAAGGUUGGCUUGAUCUCUAAUCUUAUAGUGGGAAAUUGUGAUGGAGAAUAUUCUAGAGUGGGUGUGGGUCUGUUUGAUUUCAGGUGUGUCUGUGUAAACAGUUAGCCCUGCAUAUAUUUUUGUCUAUUCACAACUGCCUGCAUGUGUAUUCAUAGAGUUGUGUGAUUCUAUGUAUGUGCAUGGGGAGUGGGAGAGGGCCAUGUGCACAUGUCUGAAUACUUGUUUUCAAAUAUACAUGCAUGUUUCCGUUUGGGUUUCUCUCUGUUUGUGUUGUUUGCCUGUCUCUUCUGUAAGUCUCUGAAAGUGCCACAUUGGCAAAUAAAAGCCACUGGGAAUAAAUAAU
Symphalangus syndactylus (siamang) is the source of this 9514-nucleotide long non-coding RNA. RefSeq lists it as uncharacterized. NCBI's taxonomy places the organism in Eukaryota, Metazoa, Chordata, Mammalia, Primates, Hylobatidae. The record is from RefSeq and is a predicted model, not a curated record.